This 699-nucleotide ribosomal RNA is filed under the name Escherichia coli MS 85-1. Its description in RNAcentral is "partial 16S ribosomal RNA". The stretch from base 174 to 699 matches the Rfam family "Bacterial small subunit ribosomal RNA", at positions 1 to 516 of the family's 1533-position model. Lineage: Bacteria; Pseudomonadati; Pseudomonadota; Gammaproteobacteria; Enterobacterales; Enterobacteriaceae. The record is from RNAcentral.
CGACAGUGAGCUGAAAGCCGCGUCGCAACUGCUCUUUAACAAUUUAUCAGACAAUCUGUGUGGGCACUCGAAGAUACGGAUUCUUAACGUCGCAAGACGAAAAAUGAAUACCAAGUCUCAAGAGUGAACACGUAAUUCAUUACGAAGUUUAAUUCUUUGAGCAUCAAACUUUUAAAUUGAAGAGUUUGAUCAUGGCUCAGAUUGAACGCUGGCGGCAGGCCUAACACAUGCAAGUCGAACGGUAACAGGAAGAAGCUUGCUUCUUUGCUGACGAGUGGCGGACGGGUGAGUAAUGUCUGGGAAACUGCCUGAUGGAGGGGGAUAACUACUGGAAACGGUAGCUAAUACCGCAUAACGUCGCAAGACCAAAGAGGGGGACCUUCGGGCCUCUUGCCAUCGGAUGUGCCCAGAUGGGAUUAGCUUGUUGGUGGGGUAACGGCUCACCAAGGCGACGAUCCCUAGCUGGUCUGAGAGGAUGACCAGCCACACUGGAACUGAGACACGGUCCAGACUCCUACGGGAGGCAGCAGUGGGGAAUAUUGCACAAUGGGCGCAAGCCUGAUGCAGCCAUGCCGCGUGUAUGAAGAAGGCCUUCGGGUUGUAAAGUACUUUCAGCGGGGAGGAAGGGAGUAAAGUUAAUACCUUUGCUCAUUGACGUUACCCGCAGAAGAAGCACCGGCUAACUCCGUGCCAGCAGCC